Molecule: long non-coding RNA, 977 nt
Organism: Eurytemora carolleeae
Lineage: Eukaryota; Metazoa; Arthropoda; Copepoda; Calanoida; Temoridae
Exons: 3
Source: RefSeq, a predicted model, not a curated record
GCGGGGCGGCACAUCUAACCCAUCCAACAUCACGUUUAAGUCGCCGGAAAUUGCAAGAAUUCCGAAUCGAUUAAUUGGGGUUUAAUUUCCUGAAAUCCGCCGGUGUGUGAAUUUGUGGACACGUGGCUUUGCUGUCCAGCUGGGCAAUAUGGCGGAUCCCCCCUACCCCCCAUUCUAAUCAGCUGCUCCCCCCCCUCCUCCUGCUUCAAGUCAGCUGAUACCCGGCCCGACUUAUACUGCCCUUCCAAACAUACACACACACACUCGAACGAACAAACGCAGGAAAUUUCCGGAAAACCUGGUGAACCCACAGUCGACUGUAUAACCAGUAUUUAAACUGUUAAGCUUAGUAAUCCACGACUACAGUUCUAGUCUGGACACCUUGCAUUGAGCCAGACUAUCAUGAAAGAAACUGAAGGAAUGUACCGUACUGCAAAAGAAGACAAAACACUACAUACUCAUUGUACUUCAUCAGGUGCUCUGGAUGUUAUAUACCGGGGGCUUGAUGUAGUACAAGACAACAUGAGUGAUAUUCAUCAUUUUCAUCAACAUCCAACAUUAUAUCUACCAACAUUGUUCAGUCAACCGAUGCCCCAUCUACCAUAUUUCUUCACUUAUUAACCAGAUUAGUCUCGAGCCUGGUUCCGGAUUCGGAAAUACUUGUCCAGAAAUAGCUUUAACUUCUGAUGUUUUUUCUUCAGAAAAAACAACCCACUAUUUUUCAAGAUUUUAGUGAUUCCGUAUUUAAUUAUUCGUAUGUCGACCUUUUUUAUAAUUAACAAAUUUUUUGAUAAAUUUCGCAAUUUUUGUAGUAGAAACCUAUAAAUGGAAUUAUUCAGUGAUCAUUGCGGAUUUAAUGUAUCGUCAUUACUUAAAAGAUGAAUUGUUGUUUUGAAUUAUAAGUUAAUUAUUAAUAUUAGUUACCCUAAGUUAACCAUUUUUGUCAUGUUAUAUAUGUAUGAGAAUAAAUAAAAUUG